UACGAUGGAGAGCGGCUCGGCAACCACAUCAGCCGUCUCCCUCAGAAGCCUGGGAUGCAUAGCAUCCGGCCCCAGGGACUCACGUACGCUCAGUUUCAUGAGGAAUUCUCGGGCUUGUUCCACUGUCACCGUGGGACGGAAUCCGCUCCUCUCACCCACACCUCGAGGGUCGGGGUCCUGGCAGACAUGGGGAGCCUGACCACCAGUGCUCCCUGGUUGUGUGGCUGAGGGGCACUCAGCCCCCUGUGCUCCCCCUCCCCCACAGAGUUCGAUGCAAACGCUCACAGGCAGAGUGUUUGCUCACACAAACAAUUUAUUGGCAUCUGCGCACUGGUUGGAGUUCAGGCAGAUGGCCAGGCUGUCUCCGCAAAAGCUGCGUCUCUGCCACAGUGCAACGUUUGGGCCGCGCUGUGCCGCUGGUGAAGCUGCCUUCAGCCUACUCAAGGUUCAGGAAGGUGCCCGAGUCGUCCAGCUGCAGCCCGAGCAGCAUCUCCACGGAGAGGGUUCUCUUGGAGGGGGUGGUCAGCUUGAGCUUGCAGGAGCGCUGGGAGGGCAGCAGCGUCAGGCGGCAAUGGCGAGACAGAGGCAGACGCCUCCAAGCCGCCUUCACCUGGUUCUGGAACCAGAGGGUGGUUUUCUCCACGUGCAGGUAGGAGCCCUCGCAGAAGGUGUCGAGCAGGCUGGGCUCCUGUUUCUCUCUCAGCUGCUCCUGAGCGUGGUGGACAAAGCACAGCAUGUCCCCCAGCAGCCGCUCCCUCGCGCAGGUGCACUCCAGCUCCACGCGCACACAGGACGUCUUCGCCCGCGUCUCCUCCUCGUCGCCCAGCUCCACGUGGAAGGCGUGCCCGGGGGGAGGCCUCAGGGGCACGAGCAGGCGGUACAGGACGUUGUCUUCACGGGCACUGCACCCUUCGUCGACGCAGGCCACCCCGAGAGCCGGCUGCAGCUGUGGCUUGAAGCUGUGGCAAGAGCUUCCCCGGCAGGCCCGAAGAAGAUUGUCCACCAGCUCCUCCACCACCCGGCAAUUUUCGGCCAUGUGCGCUGCCGGCCAGCGGGUGCCAUGGGCCCAAACUGUGCCCGGGGGACACUCCUCGUCACACGACUCACUCUCCUCUUCCACCUCCUUGUCCUCCUCCUUGCCUGGGGAGCUUUCCUCCUCGUUGCCACUGCCCGGCUUGCAUCUCUUGUUGCGGAGCCAGAAGCCGAGCCCAACAAACAGGACAAGCAGCCCAGCAAAGGCCCAGAGCUGCCAGUGCUGCAAGGCAGCAAAGAGCGGGGCUCCUCUGCCCACUCCGCUCUGCUCCUGCCUCUCCUGGCUCCCCUGUGCCAUACUGCGCAGAAGCUGAGCCACGUAGGAACUCAGCUGCUGCACUCGCGAGUGCACGUACUUGUGCAUUCCCACAUAAAAGCCAAGAAUUCUCAGCCAAAACUGCACGAUCACGCGCAGCAAAGCCAGGGCGACAAAGAGCACCCGAGCCAUGGCCAUUAGGAUGUGCACACUGCACUCACCAAAGGCCUAGGCCGCAGCGCGGCGAUGCUGCCUCUUUCACAGCCUCCUGACACGCCCCGCACUGUGACUCGUCCUGCUGAUGUCACAGACACCGCAGCGUGUCACACCGCUGCACUCCUCCCCUCUCCUCAGGCGGUGUCUAAACCUAAGUGGAGUGAAGUAGCACAGGAGUGUCCCGAGUUCUGCAACGUUACUUUGUUACGCGAAUAAAUGCAAAAGGAAAAAGGAAUGCA
RNAcentral lists this long non-coding RNA (1743 nucleotides) under Numida meleagris (helmeted guineafowl). RNAcentral describes it as "lncRNA (ENSNMEG00000003893.1)". The record is from RNAcentral. Lineage: Eukaryota; Metazoa; Chordata; Aves; Galliformes; Numididae.